UACGUAGGGUGCGAGCGUUAAUCGGAAUUACUGGGCGUAAAGUGUGCGUAGGCGGCAGAGCAAGUCGAGUGUGAAAGCCCCGGGCUUAACUUGGGAAUUGCGCUCGAAACUACUUUGCUGGAGUGUGGCAGAGGAAGGUGGAAUUCCACGUGUAGCGGUGAAAUGCGUAGAGAUGUGGAGGAACACCAAUGGCGAAGGCAGCCUUCUGGGCCAACACUGACGCUCAUGCACGAAAGCGUGGGGAGCAAACAGG
This 253-nucleotide ribosomal RNA is filed under the name uncultured bacterium. RNAcentral's name for it is "partial 16S ribosomal RNA". It matches the Rfam family "Bacterial small subunit ribosomal RNA", at positions 524 to 776 of the family's 1533-position model. The record is from RNAcentral.